Molecule: ribosomal RNA, 229 nt
Filed under: uncultured bacterium
Lineage: Bacteria
Description: partial 16S ribosomal RNA
Rfam family: Bacterial small subunit ribosomal RNA
Source: RNAcentral
UGGGUAACCUGCCUCUUGCUCUGGGAUAACUCCGGGAAACCGGGGCUAAUACCGGAUACUCUCAGCCGACCGCAUGACCGGCUGAGGAAAGCUCCGGCGGUCUGGGAUGGGCCCGCGGCCUAUCAGCUUGCUGGUGGGGUAACGGCCUACCAAGGCGACGACGGGUAGCUGGUCUGAGAGGACGGCCAGCCACACUGGGACUGAGACACGGCCCAGACUCCUACGGGAG